UGGACAACAAGAUAAUGGUGU
RNAcentral lists this microRNA (21 nucleotides) under Limulus polyphemus (Atlantic horseshoe crab). RNAcentral's name for it is "Lpo-Mir-5735-P2_3p (mature (guide))". The record is from RNAcentral. Lineage: Eukaryota; Metazoa; Arthropoda; Merostomata; Xiphosura; Limulidae.